RNAcentral lists this long non-coding RNA (3656 nucleotides) under Gallus gallus (chicken). RNAcentral's name for it is "lncRNA (ENSGALG00010023139.1)". The record is from RNAcentral. Lineage: Eukaryota; Metazoa; Chordata; Aves; Galliformes; Phasianidae.
CUGAUCCUCACCACCUCAGGGCCAAUCCUCACAACUGGAUCCUCUCCUGCAGCUCCUGGCACUGUCACUCCUGCCCAGGGGACAGGAACAAAGAUAGGGACAUGGGAUAGGGCCGGCUCUGGAGAGGGGCUGCCUUGCUCUGCCAGUGAUAAAUCUAGCGGUCCCCUCGCUUUUUCAUCACUUGCCUAAUCCCGUGCCCUUCUUUUCAUGUGCCGUAAUUGCUCCCAGCUGCUCCCACAGCCCAACCGUGCAGAGAUUGUGAACAAGGCCCUGCAGAACAAUGGCAAUGGCUGCUCCGCGUUGCCUCUGGCCUGUGCCUCCUGCAGCCCACAUCUGCCCUGCUGUAUCCCAUUUGGGGAGCGGGCCUGUCCCCCUGACCUUGCUCCAGGCUGAGGAGGGUCCUGGGAGGCACAGUGCCCCUAAAACAAUAGCAAAUGUUACGAGAAAAAAAGCAAAACGACAACGUCGCCAUUGCCAGGGAGAGAGCAGCCCUCAGGUUGGAUUCCACACGCGCUGAUCCCCAUAGGCCAUGAUGUGACCAGAGCCUUCAAGAUCAGCCCUUCACCUUCUAACAUGAGUUCUUCCUCCCCUCCCCAAUCAUUUUUCCCCCUGAGAAAGGCUGCAUUCUUUCCCAAGUUAAUUGUAUCUUUCUGGGUUGGAUAAGGCAUAUCUCGUUAGAGGGGGAGAGGGGUUUAAUGUGAACUUCAAGCUGAUGUCUUCAUGCUACAGAAAGGAGAUUCCUAAUCAGUACAGUAUAUAUUUUCUAUAAUUGCCCUUUGGCAUUCCUUGUCUUUCCUGGCUAAUUAAAGUGAAAGAAGACUGUGGUGAAAUGUUCCAGUGUGUUUUCAUAGGAACAGAAAAACUAAAAACCCCUUUUGUUUAGAAAUGCGGGGUUAUCUUAAUGGUCCAGAGGGUCAGCUGUUCUCACAGGUACACUGCUAAAAUGUAGUACUAUUUUUCUUUCUGAAGCACGGCUGCAGCUCUGGGAGCAGCUCUGGGAGGCUGCACAGGAAUGCGGUCCCAUCUCACAGUGUGACAGCCCUAGACCAAGGUACAAAGGCAUCUGAAGGAUUUUAAGAGCAAUCCCUCCACAGGAAUGGCUUGAAUGUAUUCACAGUGCCACACACCUCCAGAAAGCAGGAUGUGCUUCUUAUUAGCAGCUGAGGACGGCUUGCUGAAAGGCUGCCAGCAUUUUCUUAUGAGAGAGAGCAUUACAUGCACUUAGUGAGUACAUGUGCAUAUAUAGAUAUAUAUAUUUCUAAUGUGUAUGUAAUGUUGUUUCUUGGCAUUUAUUUGGGGAAGGCUAGGUGGCACUGGGCAGUUCGUGCUGUGUCAGUUCUUAUUUGCUCUCACGUUCUUCUGUUUAUGUGAAUGCUCACACUGCAUGGAGCAAUGUCCUCUGCUACUGAGGGCAAGAAACCUCUCAGGUCCUCAUGGAGCCAAACGGAGAGGAAACAGGACAAGAAGGACACACAGGUCCAGAAGAGUGCCACAGAAAUGACCCAAGGGAUGGAACACCUCCCUACAAGGACAAGCUGAGAGAGCUGGGGCUGUUCAGUCUGGAGAAGAGAAGGCUCUGAAGAGACCUAAGGGCAACCUGUCAGUAUCUAAAGGUGGGCUACAAGAAAGAGGGGGACAGACUCUUUAGCGGGGUCUGUUGUGAUAGGAAAAGGGAAAUGGUUUCAAACUAAAAAAGAGGAGGUUUAGGUUGGAUAUAUAUAUAUAUAUUUUUUACAAUAAGAGCAGUGAAGCACCGGCACAGGUUUUCCAGACAGGUGGUGGAUGCCCCAUCCCUGGAGACAUUCAGAGUCCAUCUGGACAGGGCACUGAGCACCUGAUUGAGCUGUAGGUAUCCAUAGCAAGAGAGUUGGACCAGGCGGCCUUUAAAUCCUACUUCCAGCUCAAGCAAUUCUAUGAUUCUAUGAUCAUUCUCACAGUUUCAGGAACUCUGCCUAUAAGAUGCCUGUGUGCCACCUCAUCUUAUUCUUGCAAUGUGAUCUUCCUGUAUCUUUUACUCAAUAACACCUCUGUGCAAGUUUUCAUUAUUUGUUCUUGAGGUAGUACUAAAAAUAUCUCUUUUUUUCCCCUCUUCCUGAGCACUUUUUUAAAGAGAGCAGUUUUAUUUCUUGCCCUGAACCCAAUCUCACUGGAGGGGCAGGAAGGAACAUGCUCACCUGUGUGUCCUAUCCCCACUCUCCACUGUCUGCUUUUGUCUCUGGUGCGGUUUCGCUUCUGCUGGAUGACACAUGAAGGCCAUGUGUGGCCCAGCAGACCAUCUGAACACAGAGGUACUUCAGUGGCUCAACUGGGACAUGUCUCUGCACAUCACACAUUCCCUGUUAGGAAUCAGGUCAGUUUGCACCAAACUGGAGAAAAUCCUGAAGUUGCAGAUAGUGCCCUUUGCUACAAGGCUGCCAUCCCUUUUCCCCUUCGAAACAGCUGAAACGUCUGAAAUAGCAGCUGUUGAAUUUAUUUUCCCUUUACACAGCCUCUUUCUAAGGGAAACUGGACUGAUUAGUACCCAUUUGCUGGGUUCUGCUGCAUUAUGACACUAACAUGUGGCAUCAUUUCAAACCAGGUGGGAUUUUCUUUAAAGCAAUCUUUGGUGACAAAAAAAAUAAUAAAAAAUAAGAAAAUGUAGUUUUAGCUAAGCAAAAUGCAUUUUAAUAUGCAUUUCCCACGGCCCUGAUGUGAGAUGUAUCUUCUAAGUGCAGUACAUCACCUCAUGUCAGCAGUUAGACUCGAUGAUCCUUAUGGGUCUCUUCCAACUUGGGAUAUUCUAUGACUCUAUGAUUCUGCUGCUGUGCUCACAGACCACAUGCAGCAGCCAUCUGCAGCCUGAGCUUCUCCUCCUGCUCUAUCAUGAUGUCCAUCUGAGCCGGAGCAAUCCCCCAGCCCUACACCUCACAGCCCCAUCACACUGCAUCCCAGUGCACAGCAGUGGAAGGCAAGGGAGGGGCUUCAAAGGCGCUGGUCUCACAAUGGAGUUGGAGUAACUAGCUGCUGACAGAUUUAUAGGCUUCAGUCCAAUUAAAGUGCUGUUUAUUGCUUUUAGAAGGGGCCUGUUUGUUUCUAAUUUUAGAAGUAGGUUGGGGAAGUGACUAGAAUUGUGAGUAAGGGACCUGAGAUUUUUCACUAGGGCUUCUGGUGCUAUUCAUUAAUAGGAGUUGUUGAUAAUUAUUUAGCCUGGGACCUCAACCAACCACGGCAGGGCAGAAAUUCAGGGCAGCACCCAAAAAGCAGCGAAAGGGCUUUCCUUUGCUCCCCCUGCCCUGCUACAUCUGCUGAUUUUGGUGUGUGUUCGACCAGCCACUUUGUAAAGAGCUCCCCUUGUUCCCUAUGCAUCUCUUCCGCUCUCUCAAGUUGAUUCAUUUUAUGUGCUCCUUUUAAAGAGAAUAAAAAGUACGCCGGUGUGAAUGAUUGUUCCUAUCUCUGGCCAGCAGCGAUAGGAACCUUGGGCCAAUUGCCAGAAGGAAGUGGAGAAAUAACAAAUCUUGCCUGCGAGAUGAAAUCAGAGCUGGAAUCGGGAUUCCUGUGUUGUGCCCCUAAGUUUGCGCAGUUUUGCUGUACAGUGGUGGGAAGCCCCUUUGAUGUCAGCUUCCCACUGUCUAGAAAAGCUGCAAUAUAAAGUUAUUGUAAAACUUGGUUAUUUGUUU